GACGAACGCUGGCGGCGUGCUUAACACAUGCGAGUCGAACGGAAAGGCCUCUUUCGGGGGGUACUCGAGUGGCGAACGGGUGAGUAACACGUGAGUAACCUGCCCUUGACUUUGGGAUAACUUCAGGAAACUGGGGCUAAUACCGGAUAGGAGCUCCUGCUGCAUGGUGGGGGUUGGAAAGUUUCGGCGGUUGGGGAUGGACUCGCGGCUUAUCAGCUUGUUGGUGGGGUAGUGGCUUACCAAGGCUUUGACGGGUAGCCGGCCUGAGAGGGUGACCGGCCACAUUGGGACUGAGAUACGGCCCAGACUCCUACGGGAGGCAGCAGUGGGGAAUAUUGCACAAUGGGUGGAAGCCUGAUGCAGCAACGCCGUGUGCGGGAUGACGGCCUUCGGGUUGUAAACCGCUUUCGCUCAUGACGGAGCUUUGUGUGACGGUAGUGGGUAAAGAAGCACCGGCUAACUACGUG
This 467-nucleotide ribosomal RNA is filed under the name uncultured bacterium. RNAcentral's name for it is "partial 16S ribosomal RNA". It matches the Rfam family "Bacterial small subunit ribosomal RNA", at positions 28 to 507 of the family's 1533-position model. The record is from RNAcentral.